RNAcentral lists this ribosomal RNA (578 nucleotides) under uncultured bacterium. Its description in RNAcentral is "partial 16S ribosomal RNA". It matches the Rfam family "Bacterial small subunit ribosomal RNA", at positions 355 to 937 of the family's 1533-position model. The record is from RNAcentral.
UGAGGAAUAUUGGUCAAUGGGCGAGAGCCUGAACCAGCCAAAUCGCGUGAAGGAAGACUGCCUUAUGGGUUGUAAACUUCUUUUAUACAGGAAUAAAAAAGGGGACGUGUCCCUUAUUGCAUGUACUGUAUGAAUAAGCAUCGGCUAACUCCGUGCCAGCAGCCGCGGUAAUACGGAGGAUGCGAGCGUUAUCCGGAUUUAUUGGGUUUAAAGGGUGCGCAGGCGGGCUUUUAAGUCAGCGGUGAAAUCUCGGGGCUUAACUCCGAAACUGCCGUUGAAACUGGGAGUCUUGAGUAUGGAUGAAGUAGGCGGAAUUCGUUGUGUAGCGGUGACAUGCUUAGAUAUAACGAGGAACUCCGAUUGCGUAGGCAGCUUACUAAGCCAUAACUGACGCUCAAGCACGAAAGCGUGGGGAUCAAACAGGAUUAGAUACCCCUGGUAGUCCACGCCGUAAACGAUGAUUACUAGUUGUAUGCGAUAUACCGUAUGUGACUAAGCGAAAGCGAUAAGUAAUCCACCUGGGGAGUACGCCGGCAACGGUGAAACUCAAAUGAAUUGACGGGGUCAUAGCUGUUUCC